This 76-nucleotide transfer RNA is filed under the name Marinithermus hydrothermalis DSM 14884. RNAcentral describes it as "tRNA-Thr (TGT) (tRNA-Thr-TGT-1-1)". It matches the Rfam family "tRNA". Rfam says of the family: Transfer RNA (tRNA) molecules are approximately 80 nucleotides in length. Their secondary structure includes four short double-helical elements and three loops (D, anti-codon, and T loops). Lineage: Bacteria; Thermotogati; Deinococcota; Deinococci; Thermales; Thermaceae. The record is from RNAcentral.
GCCACCCUAGCUCAACCGGUAGAGCACCCGACUUGUAAUCGGGCGGUUAGGGGUUCGACUCCCCUGGGUGGCUCCA